CAGCACACACACACAGCACACACACGCACAGCACACACACAGGCAGCACACACAGCACACACAGGCAGCACACACACACAGCACACACACAGCAGCCGACGCCCCGUGGCGGCAUGGAGCCGUCUCUCUUGGCGGACAUCGCGGCCUUCGCGCGAGGCUCCCUGCGGCCCCAGAGGACCCGGGUGACCACGCCGGGGGGCCUCAGCUACACCGAGGGCCCGGGGGGCCCUACCCGGGGGGGCUCAGCUACACCGAGGGCCCGGGUGACCACGCCGGGGGGGCUCAGCUACACCGAGGGCCCGCGGGGCCCUACCCGGGGGGCCGAGGCCCGCGGGGGUCCGGGCGGCCGCUCGCUGGGCUUCGUGCCCGACUGGAGUGUCGACCUGCAGGUCGGGGUGGUGAAGCCGUGGCUGCUGCUGGCGAAUCCAACGCAUGGCCAGGCCACCGCUCAGGAGAUAUUCCGCCAGCCGUGUGAUGCCAUUGUGGAUGCCGGUUUACCGUGGAAGAGGUUUGCUGGAAUAACAACCGACGGAGCGCCAUCAAUGACAGGGAGGAGAAAUGGACUGGUGGCACUUGUUCAAAGAAAACUGGAAGAGGAGGGUGUGGAGGAGGCCAUUGCUCUGCACUGCAUUAUCCAUCAGCAGGCCCUUUACAGCAAAUGCCUGAAGUUUGACAAUGUGAUGUCUGUCGUUGUGAAAUGCAUCAACCAUAUCAGAUCCAGGGGCUUAAAGCACCGGCAGUUCCGCGCCUUUUUAGAGGAAAUAGAGUCAGCAUAUGAGGAUGUGCUCUACUUCACCGAGGUACGUUGGCUCAGCAGGGGAAACGUCUUGAAGAGGUUUUUUGAGUUAAGAGCAGAAGUGAAAGCCUUCAUGGAGAAGUAUGGGAUGGCUGUUCCUGUGCUAAGUGAUCCCAAAUGGCUCAUGGACUUAGCUUUUCUUGUUGACAUCACACAGGAGCUGAAUGUACUACAAGGCCAGGGGCAGCUUGUCAGUGCUGCCUAUGACAAAGUCGGAGCAUUCUCCACAAAACUUGUGUUAUGGAAAGCCCAGCUCUCUCAGACAAACCUCUGCCAUUUCACAGCAUGCAAGGCACUCAUGGACGCGGGCACACCAUUCAGUGGUGAGAAGUAUGCUGAUGCCAUUGUAAAGCUACAGGAGGAAUUUGAUCACAGGUUUGCAGACUUCAAGACACAGAGCCACUUUUCAAUUUUUUGCUGACCCCUUCUCCUUCGAUGUGCAAGAUGCCCCUCCUGUGCUUCAAAUGGAGCUAAUUGACCUGCAGUGCAAUUCUGAACUCAAAGCCAAGUUCAGGGAGGUGAGUGCAAAAGCAGACAAGCUUGGACAAUUUUUGAGAGAAUUGCCCCCCACCUUCCCUGAGCUUUCCAGGAUGUUCAAGCGGACCAUGUGCCUUUUUGGGAGCACAUAUCUGUGUGAAAAGCUCUUCUGCACCGUGAACUUUAAUAAGUCAAAGUACAGGUCCAAACUUACUGAUGAGCAUCUUCAAGCCAUACUGAGGGUCUCAAUUGCUUCCUCCCUCAAGCCAAAUGUGGCUCAGCUGUGUAAGAAGAGGAAGCGCUGCCAGGUCUCUGGCAGCAAGGAGUAGGUUCACAAGACGUGGCUCAGGACAUCCGGACACUACAGCAACAUAAGGUUUCACAUAUUCUGAACGUGGCGUACGGAGUGGACAAUGCAUUUCCCGAUAGCUACAUCUACAAGAUAGUGACGAUGCUGGAUGUUCCAGACACGAAGCUCACCAACUACUUUCCAGAGUGCUUCGACUUCAUUUCAAGGGCUCACAAACAGGUGCGGAAAAUUACUCAAUUAACCACAGCACACUUAUUUCAGAUGUAUUCAGGAAGUUGAAGCGAAAUAUAAUCACAUACCUUUGGAGCAAAGCCAGGUGCGGUUAUAUAUCUUAAGUAGUCUGUAUCAGAAGUUGUACUUUAUCUUCCCCCACACCAACAGUGAAAGGAUGUGUUGCCUUUAUCUAGCUUCUAGUCAAUUAAAAAUCUGGAGUAGCAGGGAUUUGCCCAACAAAUAAGGGUGCUUUACCAGUCAUCCGGAACCAUACCCAGGCCCGACUUACGUGACGAGUUGACUACGAAUGUUUGGCAAUUUAUUUGAAUGUCUGCUUAUGAAUGUCUGCUUAUGAAUGUAACAUGAUUAUAAAUUACUAGAAGGAAUUGGUAAUAGUGAUGUCUGAUGUGUAUAUUGUAAUCAAUAUCCAUUGGAUUAAUUUGCUGUUCACACUCCAUAGUUGGGUUUAACACGCAGUUUCAUGCACGUCUCAGUAGGCAGUUAUACGUUUUAAGUACUCACCGACCGGUACAGCUGUUCACAAAAAAAGGGGAGCAUAGCAUGAAAAAUAUUGAGGCAUGUUAAGCACGCCGCUGCAGCCUGCUGAUGUGACAUGUUAUUGCCACAGGGUGGCGUGGUGUUGGUGCACUGCAAUGCAGGAGUGUCCCGUGCUGCCAGUGUCAUCAUUGGCUAUCUCAUCCAAGAGGAUGGACUCUCCUUCC
Molecule: non-coding RNA, 2518 nt
Organism: Petromyzon marinus (sea lamprey)
Lineage: Eukaryota; Metazoa; Chordata; Hyperoartia; Petromyzontiformes; Petromyzontidae
Source: RefSeq, a predicted model, not a curated record